GACGAACGCUGGCGGCGUGCUUAACACAUGCAAGUCGAACGGAAAGGCCCUGCUUUUGUGGGGUGCUCGAGUGGCGAACGGGUGAGUAACACGUGAGUAACCUGCCCUUGACUUUGGGAUAACUUCAGGAAACUGGGGCUAAUACCGGAUAGGAGCUCCUGCUGCAUGGUGGGGGUUGGAAAGUUUCGGCGGUUGGGGAUGGACUCGCGGCUUAUCAGCUUGUUGGUGGGGUAGUGGCUUACCAAGGCUUUGACGGGUAGCCGGCCUGAGAGGGUGACCGGCCACAUUGGGCCUGAGAUACGGCCCAGACUCCUACGGGAGGCAGCAGUGGGGAAUAUUGCACAAUGGGCGGAAGCCUGAUGCAGCAACGCCGCGUGCGGGAUGACGGCCGUCGGGUUGUAAACCGUUUUCGCCUGUGACGAAGCGUGAGUGACGGUAAUGGGUAAAGAAGCACCGGCUAACUACGUG
RNAcentral lists this ribosomal RNA (468 nucleotides) under uncultured bacterium. RNAcentral describes it as "partial 16S ribosomal RNA". It matches the Rfam family "Bacterial small subunit ribosomal RNA", at positions 28 to 507 of the family's 1533-position model. The record is from RNAcentral.